This 391-nucleotide non-coding RNA is filed under the name Gossypium hirsutum (cotton). RNAcentral describes it as "Bacterial small subunit ribosomal RNA". It matches the Rfam family "Bacterial small subunit ribosomal RNA", at positions 938 to 1326 of the family's 1533-position model. Lineage: Eukaryota; Viridiplantae; Streptophyta; Magnoliopsida; Malvales; Malvaceae. The record is from Rfam by way of RNAcentral.
GAUUUGGGUUUAAUUUGAUGCAAAGCGAAGAACCUUACUAGGGUUUGACAUGUCGCGAAUCCUCUUGAAAGAGAGGGGUACCUUCGGGAACACGGACAUAGUUGGUGCACAGCUGUUGUCAGCUCGUGUCGUAAGGUGUUAGUUAAGUCCCACAACAAGCGUAACCCUUGUGUUUAGUUGCCACCGUUGAGUUUGGAACAUUGAGCAAACUACUGGUGAUAAGUUAGAAGAAGGUGAGGAUGACAUCAAGUCAUCAUGCCCCUUAUGCCUUGGGCGACACAUGUGCUACACAAUAGAUGGGACAAGGGGUCACGAUCCGGCGAGGGUGAGCUAACUCCAAAAACCCGUCCUUAGUUCUGAUUGCUUAUAAUUAUUUUAUUAGACAACACGU